AGAGUUUGAUCCUGGCUCAGAACUAACGCUGGCGGCGUGGCUUACGCAUGCAAGUCGAACGUCAAAGUCCGCAAGGACGAGUAAGUGGCGAAAGGGUGAGUAAUACUCGGGCAAUCUGCCCCUGGGACGAGGAUAGCCGCGGGAAACUGCGGGUAAUACUCGACGGGCUCACGAUGGCUGAGGCUUUCGCGAGUAAAGGGUGGGGAUCCGCAAGGACCUUCCGCCCAGGGAGGAGCUCGAGCCCUAUCAGGUAGUUGGCGGGGUAACGGCCCACCAAGGCUACGAUCAGUAUCCGGCCUGAGAGGGCGGACGGACACACUGGGACUGAGACACGGCCCAGACUCCUACGGGAGGCAGCAGUGGGGAAUUGUUCGCAAUGGGCGCAAGCCUGACGACGCAACGCCGCGUGGAGGAUGAAGGUCUUCGGAUUGUAAACUCCUGUUGCUCGGGACGAAAAGCUUCGACCUAACACGUCGAAGUCUGACGGUACCGGGUGAGGAAGCCCCGGCUAACUCUGUGCCAGCAGCCGCGGUAAUACA
Molecule: ribosomal RNA, 539 nt
Filed under: uncultured bacterium
Lineage: Bacteria
Description: bacterial SSU rRNA
Rfam family: Bacterial small subunit ribosomal RNA
Source: RNAcentral